Molecule: ribosomal RNA, 467 nt
Filed under: uncultured bacterium
Lineage: Bacteria
Description: partial 16S ribosomal RNA
Rfam family: Bacterial small subunit ribosomal RNA
Source: RNAcentral
GACGAACGCUGGCGGCGUGCUUAACACAUGCAAGUCGAACGGAAAGGCGCCAGCUUGCUGGAGUACUCGAGUGGCGAACGGGUGAGUAACACGUGGGUAAUCUGCCCUGCACUCUGGGAUAAGCCUUGGAAACUGGGUCUAAUACUGGAUAUGACCUUUCUCCUCAUGGGGUUUGGUGGAAAGUUUUUCGGUGUAGGAUGAGCCCGCGGCCUAUCAGCUUGUUGGUGGGGUGAUGGCCUACCAAGGCGACGACGGGUAGCCGGCCUGAGAGGGUGAUCGGCCACAUUGGGACUGAGAUACGGCCCAGACUCCUACGGGAGGCAGCAGUGGGGAAUAUUGCACAAUGGGCGGAAGCCUGAUGCAGCGACGCCGCGUGAGGGAUGACGGCCUUCGGGUUGUAAACCUCUUUCAGCAGGGACGAAGCGUAAGUGACGGUACCUGCAGAAGAAGCACCGGCUAACUAUGUG